AGCUAAGCUUAACAGGACACUGUGUUACAACUGCGUCGACGUAGCACAUCCAGGAGACUGUGAUGUCAUCAGUGUAUGUGAUAUCGAUAAGAAAUGUUUUGCAAGACACUUCAUAACUGAUAUGUUUGAAGAAAGAUGGAGGCUUGGGUGCGAAGAAAAACAGAAAUGUACAGAUAUCGCUAAGUAUUCCAUGUAUGCAGGUCACCCUAAAACCAAGAAACAAGUAAUAGGUGGAUCUGAUGGGUUUGACUUGUGUUACUAUUGUUGUGACGAUAACUUCUGUAAUAAAAAAGAUUGUGAAAAAGG
This is a long non-coding RNA of Mytilus trossulus (common blue mussel), 306 nucleotides long. RefSeq lists it as uncharacterized. Lineage: Eukaryota; Metazoa; Mollusca; Bivalvia; Mytilida; Mytilidae. The record is from RefSeq and is a predicted model, not a curated record. The transcript is spliced from 3 exons.